Molecule: ribosomal RNA, 484 nt
Filed under: uncultured bacterium
Lineage: Bacteria
Description: partial 16S ribosomal RNA
Rfam family: Bacterial small subunit ribosomal RNA
Source: RNAcentral
AUUGAACGCUGGCGGCAUGCCUAACACAUGCAAGUCGAGCGGAUGAAGGGAGCUUGCUCCUGGAUUCAGCGGCGGACGGGUGAGUAAUGCCUAGGAAUCUGCCUGGUAGUGGGGGAUAACGUCCGGAAACGGGCGCUAAUACCGCAUACGUCCUGAGGGAGAAAGUGGGGGAUCUUCGGACCUCACGCUAUCAUAUGAGCCUAGGUCGGAUUAGCUAGUUGGUUGGGUAAAGGCCUACCAAGGCGACGAUCCGUAACUGGUCUGAGAGGAUGAUCAGUCACACUGGAGCUUGGACGGCGUCCAGACUCCUGAGGGAGGCAGCAGUGGGGAAUAUUGGACAAUGGGCGAAAACCUGGUCCAGCCAUGCCGCGUGUGUGAAGAAGGUCUUCGGAUUGUAAAGCCCUUUAAGUUGGGAGGAAGGGCAGUAAGUUAAUACCUUGCUGUUUUGACGUUAACAACAGAAUAAGCACCGGCUAACUUCGUG